This 112-nucleotide non-coding RNA is filed under the name Rhodobacter sp. RNAcentral's name for it is "TPP sequence". It matches the Rfam family "TPP riboswitch aptamer (THI element)". Rfam says of the family: Vitamin B(1) in its active form thiamin pyrophosphate (TPP) is an essential coenzyme that is synthesised by coupling of pyrimidine and thiazole moieties in bacteria. The previously detected thiamin-regulatory element, thi box was extended, resulting in a new, highly conserved RNA secondary structure, the THI element, which is widely distributed in eubacteria and also occurs in some archaea. Analysis of operon structures identified a large number of new candidate thiamin-regulated genes, mostly transporters, in various prokaryotic organisms. The record is from RNAcentral. Lineage: Bacteria; Pseudomonadati; Pseudomonadota; Alphaproteobacteria; Rhodobacterales. RNAcentral also lists the same sequence under 1 other name.
CGCCUUACCUCGGGGUGCCCGCCGGACCUGGUCCGACUGGCUGAGAUGCGAAAGCGGACCCGUUGAACCUGAACCGGAUCAUACCGGCGGAGGGAAGGUGCAUGGAAUUCCU